This 468-nucleotide ribosomal RNA is filed under the name uncultured bacterium. RNAcentral's name for it is "partial 16S ribosomal RNA". It matches the Rfam family "Bacterial small subunit ribosomal RNA", at positions 28 to 507 of the family's 1533-position model. The record is from RNAcentral.
GACGAACGCUGGCGGCGUGCUUAACACAUGCAAGUCGAACGGAAAGGCCCUGCUUUUGUGGUGUGCUCGAGUGGCGAACGGGUGAGUAACACGUGAGUAACCUGCCCUUGACUUUGGGAUAACUUCAGGAAACUGGGGCUAAUACCGGAUAGGAGCUCCUGCUGCAUGGUGGUGGUUGGAAAGUUUCGGCGGUUGGGGAUGGACUCGCGGCUUAUCAGCUUGUUGGUGGGGUAGUGGCUUACCAAGGCUUUGACGGGUAGCCGGCCUGAGAGGGUGACCGGCCACAUUGGGACUGAGAUACGGCCCAGACUCCUACGGGAGGCAGCAGUGGGGAAUAUUGCACAAUGGGCGGAAGCCUGAUGCACCAACGCCGCGUGCGGGAUGACGGCCUUCGGGUUGUAAACCGCUUUCGCCUGUGACGAAGCGUGAGUGACGGUAAUGGGUAAAGAAGCACCGGCUAACUACGUG